Molecule: ribosomal RNA, 117 nt
Filed under: Candidatus Sumerlaeota bacterium
Lineage: Bacteria; Candidatus Sumerlaeota
Source: RNAcentral
CCCGGCGAUUAUGGCGUGGGGGCAACACCCGUUCCCAUUCCGAACACGGCAGUUAAGCCCCACAGCGUCGAUGGUACUACGCGGCGACCCGUGUGGGAGAGUAGAACAUCGCCGGGU